UAGUCAUAUGCUUGUCUCAAAGAUUAAGCCAUGCAUGUCUAAGUAUAAGCAAUUAUACCAUGAAACUGCGAAUGGCUCAUUAAAUCAGUUAUCGUUUAUUUGAUAGUACCUUACUACUUGGAUACCCGUGGUAAUUCUAGAGCUAAUACAUGCUGAAAACCCCGACUUCGGAAGGGGUGUAUUUAUUAGAUAAAAAACCAAUGCCCUUCGGGGCUACUUGGUGAUUCAUAAUAACUUAACGGAUCGCACGGCCUUGCGCCGGCGACGGUUCAUUCAAAUUUCUGCCCUAUCAACUUUCGAUGGUAAGGUAUUGGCUUACCAUGGUUUCAACGGGUAACGGGGAAUAAGGGUUCUAUUCCGGAGAGGGAGCCUGAGAAACGGCUACCACAUCCAAGGAAGGCAGCAGGCGCGCAAAUUACCCAAUCCCGACACGGGGAGGUAGUGACAAUAAAUACUGAUACAGGGCUCUUUUGGGUCUUGUAAUUGGAAUGAGUACAACUUAAAUCCCUUAACGAGGAACAAUUGGGGGGCAAGUCUGGUGCCAGCAGCC
This 550-nucleotide ribosomal RNA is filed under the name uncultured eukaryote. RNAcentral's name for it is "SSU rRNA". It matches the Rfam family "Eukaryotic small subunit ribosomal RNA", at positions 21 to 575 of the family's 1831-position model. The record is from RNAcentral.